UAUCGGUCAGUGUGUGAGUUAUCUUUAUAAAAUUGCUUGGAAAUAUACGCUCUAGCGUACUUAAGUAGUGUCAAAAAUUAAUGAAAUCUGUCCCGAUGAUCCUGUAUUUGACUUUCCAUCGGGUUUGAAACCAUUUGCAAAUGUAAUUAUGAAUUGAAGUUUACGUCUGAUGAUAUAUAGAAAUUGAUAAGAUACUAAAUUUGAUUGGAACCCACUCAGUUUCUUAGGAUAUUGCUUGUUCUUGCUGAGUUCUUCGUCAACGUUUUUUAAUUUGAAACUUCUGAGAGUAUUUUUCCGACUUUGAGAUUUGCAAAUCGCGAGAGUAUAAAAUGUUGGGUUACACACGAUCUUCUACUAGUAUACUACUCUUAUACUAGCUUUAGAUUGGACGGCACGGUGUAGCUAGUAGAGUGCAUUAGUGAAUGAUCAGCGGACGGUAAUUGGGUAGCUGAUCGCGAACCCCUUCCUAUGCCGGAUAUCGGCUCUUCGGAUGUGUGACCAACCUUUUCCGGAUGAUUCGUGGGACUAAAUAUGAACACAAACAACAACAAAAUAACAACAAUAACAACUGACACCUUGACGACCACCAGAACGACAGCAAGGAUAAUGGCAAACAUUAUUUCUUCCAACCAGGAGACGAUAAAAAGCUCUACCGGGCGUAGGAGCCAAAUUACGCCAGUAGUAAUAGCAACAAAAACAGGGGAUUCCAAUCAAAGUACCUUAAACCUAACAUAGGUAUGGAACUAACCGUCAACCUCCAAAGCAGCUAAGAGUACCAACCAGACCACACUGGCUGCCAAAGGGGAGGUACAACGUAAAAGUGAAAGAAAUCUCAAAAUCAGCAGAGGAAGAGCCGGUACCAGAAGACAGUCUUCGUACUCGGAAAGAUAGCCAAGGAUCAGGCUGCUGGCCCCUCAGUUGACGAAGAGGAGAUUAAGCACCAGACACAGGUUGUGGAGAAGUAUAAGAGUUUCCUGAAAAGGAAGCAAUCGGAACAUUCCGCGGUGACCGCCAAAAAAAACACGAAGAAAAGGAAUCGCUCCCAUAACGAAAUGUUGGAAACUCUGCCCAAAAAACUCAAGUAGCAGGGAUUUGAAACAAACAGUACUGUUUAAAUGAGUAUAAACUCAUCCCGCCAAGUACACCGCUUCACCCGGAAAAUAAUGACACACCCUAGUAUAACCAACUACAAUACACCACACUCAUACAUCCCCACGCGGGAUAACACAACACACCAGAGCAUCGCGCCUGUACGCCACCUCAGCAAACAAAAAGGAUGAUCUCCGCAGCAGAUACUCCUCAUUCGAAAAAAUAACGAUCCUGCGCGCAGCUCUUUUCAUUCGUUUCGACCACCAGCCGAGUUAGCUCUGAUCGACACUGCUCCGCACGCGUUUACUUUUCUUGGUCAGCCGAAUCCGGACCUUAGCGGAAUUGAAUGGACACAUCGCUUCGCUCACCAUCGGACCCGUUUUUCUAUAAUAAUUUUAAUUGUAACAAUAUCUUGUUAUAAAAUAAAAGUCUCCUUUUAUUUCGUAUUUCAAAUCAACCCCAUUUUCACUUACAUAUGUAUAUACAUAUGUAUAAUAUUUAACGCGAAUGUAAGUGCAUUAUCAGCAAUUUAAAUUCAGUGGUGGGUGUUUCCCACUGAAUUGGGCACCCAUUUAAACAAGUACAAAAACACCUGAACACUUUCUUGAUGUGGCCACAGACUGCCUGCAAGUGUCGGUAACAGACGAAAACUCCUGAUCUAACACCAUUCAGGAGAGUUGGGUGGCGAUAGACGUCAGAUUGUCGAGCCUAGUAUUAAGCUACAUUAUUGACAAAAUUAGCUUCUUUGAAGGCCUCAAACUGAGGCUCCUACCUGCUAAGGAUAUCCCAAAGAGACCUCGUGUUCGCAUUCGGAUGUCUCUUCUAGAGGAGUCAGGCGAAAAACUCCUGAGGUACAUUACGCUGCAGAACAAGUCUGUAACAGGAAUAGACGACUAUUAAUAAACAAUUAAUAUGCGACCAGAUAAAUUUGCAGCACUCAAAAAGUGCUACAAGUAGUCUGACAAUACUUACAAAUGAGAGGGGCAUCGACAUUAGCCUAAUACAGGAGCCCUGGGUCAGAGAUGACACAGUCGAAGAGCUCAACAGCACCAACUACAACAUUUUCCACAAACGAAAUGAAGGUAUACAAAGGGUAAGCAUUCUCAACAAUAAAGAUAUAAAUGAAUUUCUUUGCUGAAAUUAUAGAACAGCAGAUACCGCAAAGGUAAGGGUGGAACAAAAGAAAAGUAAUUUCUUUGUGGCACACGAUAGAGACGUGCCACCAGAAUCACUCAAGGAAUUAACAGAUGGCAACAAAGAAGAAGACAUCCUAAUAGGUUGUGACGCAAACGCAAGACACACUCUAUGAAGAAGCUCCAGAACAAACAUCAGAGAGGCGAUAAGCCAACCUUCAUAUUGCCAAGUUCGGAAAGGCUUUAGGGAUGGGAGGAAUUGCUGGCUCUCACGCUAUCUACAAAGACAGAUCGCCUUACCGUAGAUGACUAAAGGGUCUCCAAGGAGCUAUAUAUGUCGGAUCACUCCUGGAUACUUUUCAACAUUCGCGAGCAAAGCAGUACUCCUCUCAAAUAUCGAAACCUUAAAAGAACAGUAUGGGAUAAAUUUACUGCGACAGCUACUAAAGGCUAAGAAAUAAGCAGGAAUAAUAAUAAAACCAGAAAUACUCAAGAGCUAGAUACAGAGGUGGAGAAUAUCGAGAAAAUUUUAUCUACCUCUUUCAAUCAAUCCAUGCCGUCAACCUUUAAUGAAAGUUAUAGGACCAAACUUUGGCAACCCUAUAAAGAUAUCAUGAAUCAAUACAAAGAAGCAGUCUGGAAGUUAGACAGACCUAAUGCACAUCAAAAGAAUAUUCCAGGCUGAGCAAUAUACUGUCCAAAGGACACACCAAUAUUGAGUAGCUAGAGAUUCUUAUAAACACCCAUUUCCUGUGAGGUUAGCAAUCUAUGGUAAUGGAUGUUCAACCAGUACAAGGCGCAAGUACACCAGACCAUAUGCAUAACGGCAUGCACCACCACCACAACAGCAGGCUUAGCAUAUUUUGAGCUUGCUGGAAUGUGCGGUACAGCCGGACCAGAAAACUGCAGGAGCAAGUUUAUUGUAUUUAUAUUGGAAGAAAGUGAAAUUAGUAACAUUUAGCUCGACCAUUUAAACCCAGAAGAACGGACAAAAUUAAUAACCACUAUAUCUAUGACUACAUUUGAGAACGUGACUUGCCAACGGUUUGCAUCCAACGGAAAGCAUUUUGCCAGUUCUUUCUAGCCAGGUUCUUUGCUAUAAACAAUCUUCUAUUCGAAUUAAGGUUAGUUAUUGAGG
Molecule: non-coding RNA, 3360 nt
Organism: Bactrocera oleae (olive fruit fly)
Lineage: Eukaryota; Metazoa; Arthropoda; Insecta; Diptera; Tephritidae
Source: RefSeq, a predicted model, not a curated record